RNAcentral lists this long non-coding RNA (401 nucleotides) under Olea europaea subsp. europaea. Lineage: Eukaryota; Viridiplantae; Streptophyta; Magnoliopsida; Lamiales; Oleaceae. The record is from RNAcentral.
CCUAAUUCCUUAAUUUAAGUGUUUAACAUCAUAUAAUCACAAGCAAAUUCAAAUAAUAUGUUUCUAUCUUUCAAACCCAUUUCAAUAUUCAACUUUUUUCAACUUCAAUACUCAAAUAACAUUCUUUGCUAUAUUCCUAUUUAUAACCUCAAAUACAUAUAAAUAACAACCAAUUAUUGCUAAACUUCGAAGUAAAGUAAAUUUUCCAUUAACCCCAAAAUAUUCAAGUAACAUAAACUUCAAUUAGCUCUUGAAAAUAAGAAGAAUUAAGGAAUAAAACCUCAAUCUUCAAAAGCCAACACACAUUUCUUCUUCUUCUCCUUCAGUCUUUCCUUUUUCUCGUUCAUUUUUGUCUUAUUUUUUUCUCUGCUUCUCCCAGUCGGUUUCUCCCCCAGCAAUGA